This 353-nucleotide ribosomal RNA is filed under the name uncultured Rhodocyclaceae bacterium. Its description in RNAcentral is "bacterial SSU rRNA". It matches the Rfam family "Bacterial small subunit ribosomal RNA", at positions 1028 to 1382 of the family's 1533-position model. The record is from RNAcentral. Lineage: Bacteria; Pseudomonadati; Pseudomonadota; Betaproteobacteria; Rhodocyclales; Rhodocyclaceae.
AGGGUGACAGGUGGUGCAUGGUUGUCGUCAGCUCGUGUCGUGAGAUGUUGGGUUAAGUCCCGCAACGAGCGCAACCCUUGUCAUUAGUUGCCAUCAUUUGGUUGGGCACUCUAAUGAGACUGCCGGUGACAAACCGGAGGAAGGUGGGGAUGACGUCAAGUCCUCAUGGCCCUUAUGGGUAGGGCUUCACACGUCAUACAAUGGUCGGUACAGAGGGUUGCCAACCCGCGAGGGGGAGCUAAUCCCACAAAGCCGAUCGUAGUCCGGAUCGCAGUCUGCAACUCGACUGCGUGAAGUCGGAAUCGCUAGUAAUCGUGGAUCAGCAUGUCACGGUGAAUACGUUCCCGGGUCUU